RNAcentral lists this microRNA (22 nucleotides) under Macaca fascicularis (crab-eating macaque). RNAcentral describes it as "novel_miR32-3p". Lineage: Eukaryota; Metazoa; Chordata; Mammalia; Primates; Cercopithecidae. The record is from RNAcentral.
UCUCUUCUGACUUUAUCAUAAA